Molecule: long non-coding RNA, 1706 nt
Filed under: Sus scrofa (pig)
Lineage: Eukaryota; Metazoa; Chordata; Mammalia; Artiodactyla; Suidae
Description: lncRNA (ENSSSCG00000061620.1)
Source: RNAcentral
CUAUAGGAUUUAAAUGCCCAUGGAUGUGGCUCACGGUAUUACCAGAGUCCCAUUUCCUCUCUUGUGUUUUCCGUGUACACUUCGAAUCCUCAAGAAAGAAAACCCCCGUUGCAUUGUACACUCCAGAGUCUAUAAGGCAGGAUGAAUAAAAAAGAAAAAAAGAUCUUCCCAAAGUAACUUUUAGAAUACUUUCUCAUUUUUAAACCUAAAAGUCCGUUUUGACCUUGUCUAUUUUUCAUAAUCUGUAUAUUUGAUAAGAGACAGAGGAUAUAUUGCAUAUCUGCCAAUAGGGUGAAAAAGGAACAAACUGAAUUUUGCUUUGAGGAAUUUAUUUUCCAGAGAACAAAACAGAGAGAAGAGAAAAAGAACCUUUGUUUAAUGUUAUGGGGUCACCUAUUGAGAUACAGCAUCUAAACAUAGUUUAUGUUGGAAUUCUGCCCCCUCAUGAGUAUUCUUCAUUUAGGAGAAGUGCAUUUAUUCCAACACAUUACAAAAGAGCCCGAAUGGGUAUUCAAAUAACUGCUGUAAAUCAAAAGAUUCUCUUUUUAAGGAAACAAUCAUAGAUUUUUAUAGUUUUUGUGCUUUGCUAUGGACUUUCUAAAAUGAUAGAAAGAUUCUCAUUUGUGCCCCCCCCAACCCCACUAUUGAAUUGUUCUGGUUUUGUACAAAAAAGAAAAAAAAAAAAAAAAAAAAAAAACAGAAAAUGGGCUGACAGCUUUAGAAAAUUUAAACAAUUCCCCUUGCCAAGAUACGUAUUUCGUGAGUUUUCUUUAAUUUCAGAUUUGGUGCAUAUGUGUCAUGCUAACAAUGAAUGCUUUCAAUUUCAGAGUUCAGUUUCUUCUCUCCCUGCUUAAACCAAUCUUCACCUUUUAAUAGGCAAUUAUUUUCCUAAUCACUUCUUAAAAACUUUUUUCAGAACUGUGAGGCACUAAGCUCCAAGUUAUACAUUAUGGUUGCUUUUAAAACAAACUGAGUUCACUGUAAACUGCAAAAUGCACCGGAUUGGUAAAAGUACCAUAGAACAAGGAAAAGAAGCAAGGAGGCUAUACCUCAAAGUAUUAGAAAACUUCCAUAACUUACAAAUUCAUACAGAUCACAGGUGAAUUGGAUGAGAAGAAUUCUUUUAAAAAUGAGCAAAGUAGUAUUGACUGUGAUUGUUUUAAUAGGAUAUACAGAGUUGUAAUAUUUUCUCCCAUCGGCAUUAAACCUCACUUCACAAAAUAGAAUAUUCUCUCAUUUUCUCUUUUUAUAACCUGUCAACCACAUGGAACACAAUCUUCUAAAUUUAAAAGCAAAGCAUAAAACUAAGCUCUUAUAAUCACAACUAUUCAUAUAUAUUUUCAUUUGAAAUAUAAGUGCUUCAAAAACCAUUUUCUUGUGGCAAAAAAAAAAACUAGUUAGAAAACAAACAAAAAAUGCUAUAUUUUAUGAUAUCUCUAUCAGGCAUGAAAAGAAAGACAAUGGAUCCAGUCCUGUGAUACCUUACCAAAACACUUUAGCAGUGCUAAUUUCAAUGUUGCAGACACAAACAGAAUAAUAAAAAUGCAUGUGGCUCAGGAGUUGGAAUUACAACUGUGAUAUUUUAAGGAUGAUUCCACUGGAUUCAAUUCAAAUCCGAAAGAUCAAUUGAUGUUUCAUGAACCCAACAAAUCUAUAAUAAAGCUUCCUUCUAUUUCAAUAUUUUAAAAUUAAUUUACAACUAGCUG